Molecule: ribosomal RNA, 492 nt
Filed under: uncultured bacterium
Lineage: Bacteria
Description: partial 16S ribosomal RNA
Rfam family: Bacterial small subunit ribosomal RNA
Source: RNAcentral
GAUGAACGCUAGCUACAGGCUUAACACAUGCAAGUCGAGGGGAAACGACAUCGAAAGCUUGCUUUUGAUGGGCGUCGACCGGCGCACGGGUGAGUAACGCGUAUCCAACCUGCCCAUCACUUGGGAAUAACCUUGCGAAAGUAAGACUAAUACCCAAUGAUAUCCCACGAAGGCAUCGGAAUGGGAUUAAAGAUUUAUCGGUGAUGGAUGGGGAUGCGUCUGAUUAGCUUGUUGGCGGGGUAACGGCCCACCAAGGCAACGAUCAGUAGGGGUUCUGAGAGGAAGGUCCCCCACAUUGGAACUGAGACACGGUCCAAACUCCUACGGGAGGCAGCAGUGAGGAAUAUUGGUCAAUGGGCGAGAGCCUGAACCAGCCAAGUAGCGUGCAGGAUGACGGCCCUAUGGGUUGUAAACUGCUUUUAGAAGGGAAUAAAGUGGGUCUCGGGAGACUUUUUGCAUGUACCUUAUGAAUAAGGACCGGCUAAUUCCGUG